Molecule: ribosomal RNA, 682 nt
Filed under: Haustrum haustorium
Lineage: Eukaryota; Metazoa; Mollusca; Gastropoda; Neogastropoda; Muricidae
Description: partial 16S ribosomal RNA
Rfam family: Bacterial large subunit ribosomal RNA (bases 1-514)
Source: RNAcentral
GACCGUGCGAAGGUAGCGUAAUAAUUUGCCUUAUAAUUGAAGGCUUGUAUGAAUGGUUUGACAAGAAUAUAACUGUCUCUUUAUAAUUAGAUAGAAUUUUAUUUAUAGGUGAAGAAGCCUAUAUUAAAUUGAUAGACGAGAAGACCCUAUCGAGCUUUAAAUGAGUUGGUAAAUUUUACAUAUUAUGGUAUAGAUAAAAAGUAAGUUAUUAAAGAUUUUGGUUGGGGCGACUGAGGAACAAACAAAGCUUCCUUUAUUAUUAGAGACAAUCGAGUGUUGAUCCAAAAUUUUUGAUUAAAGGAAUUAGUUACCGUAGGGAUAACAGCAUAAUCUUUUUUGAGAGUUCUAAUCGAAAAAAAGGUUUGUGACCUCGAUGUUGGACCAGAAUAUCCUGAAGAUGCAGCCGUCUUCAAAGGUUGGUCUGUUCGACCAUUAAAAUUCUACGUGAUCUGAGUUUAGACCGGCGUGAGCCAGGUCAGUUUCUAUCUUCAAUUUUUAGAGUAAACUUAGUACGAAAGGACCAGUUUACUAUAAGUUAAUUAUUUAUUUUGGUGAUAUAUAAUAAAAGAUUUAAUUGAUAAGAUGGUAGUUACGAUCAAGUUAGCAAAGAUAAUGCGAUUGAUUUAGGAUCAAUAGGCAUAGGUGAAAUCCCUUUAUUUGAUAUAUGAAGAUGGCAGAUUAA